This 348-nucleotide ribosomal RNA is filed under the name Picea likiangensis. Its description in RNAcentral is "eukaryotic LSU rRNA". The stretch from base 1 to 66 matches the Rfam family "5.8S ribosomal RNA", at positions 89 to 154 of the family's 154-position model. The record is from RNAcentral. Lineage: Eukaryota; Viridiplantae; Streptophyta; Pinopsida; Pinales; Pinaceae.
UCAUCGAGUUUUUGAACGCAAUUUGCGCCCGAGGCCUCGGUCGAGGGCACGUCUGUCUGGGCGUCGCAUCCUACAUACACGCGCUCCCUGCAAGGCAUGGGGGAGGAGCGGAGAUGGUCGUCCGUUCCCAACGUGGUUCGGUCGGCUGAAAUACAUGCCAUGCUCCGUGUCUUGUGUCGGCGAGCGGUGAUAUUGUCCCCUUGUUUGGGCGAGUCGGCGUUGGUUGAUGCAGGGUGUGUGCAGCAUUUCGGGAACUUGCUUUGCCCAUCGACUUUCCAUCUUGGUGGAGGUCUUUGGCUCCAAAUGCGACCCCAGCUCAGGCGAGAACACCCGCUGAGUUUAAGCAUA